CAGAAUAUAAUGCCAGAGCUUCCUUCAGCGUUGCAAACAGCGAUUGGGUGAGGUAACUUAACGCAUCGUGGAGGAAAGAGAUUUGCCGGAACAGUUAAUUGUCCAACUGUUGCUACAAACUUCGCUAUGUGGACAGGAAGACUUGGUAAGGAGGCUAAUCCUAUUUUGGUCAAACAGCUUCGUUUCCGAUCAGCAAAUUGUUUCGCUCCAGUUAAUUUCGUUUUCUGUUCGUCCAUUCUUUGAUCUCAUUAAUUUUUAUAUCGAUAUUCUAUCAGCGACAAUUAUAUUAUAGGAAAACUGCAUCUGUCGUGGAUGGACCAUUUGCUUCAACAGCAAGCUAUAAAGUGCUUCCAUUGGCAAGUCUACUCGGCAAAAUGUCUUUUGUCUUGUCAGCAAAACAGAUUUUCCCCGUGACGUCGAACAAUUGUAUGUUGAAAUUUGUUUGCUCUCGCAUGAAAUAUCAGCAGUCCACAGCGAUUAGAUGUCGGUUCCCACAACGAUCAAAUAUCAGCUCCCGCGACAAUCUGGCAGCAAUAUACAUAGCAAACAUAUGUAAUUUUGCUGCGAUUAUCAAGUUAAAUUGUUUUCCUCCUCGACUCGCGCGCGAAUCGUGCCGUCUCGCAAGUGCGCGCUUUGACGCGCGCGUCACCGGGUAUCGUGCUACAUCCAGGCCCAUGUAUCAAACCCGCAAAUGUGCCCUAUCGAGACGUGAGAUGAAGCGUUUGUGUAUACGGGAGGAGUGCUGGGGACGAUAAGAGGAGGAAAGCCGGAGUGUCGCGUUGCAGAGAAGGCGAGAUCUGAAAGGUCAGGUAAAUAGAACUUAUUGAUAAGAAUAGGAGAGGACCUUACGAGCGCGAAUUCGAAGAGUGGGAGGAAAUCGUGUUACGCACGGUGCCCGGACUGCCCGACGGGUCUUUUCUUUCUUUGAAUGGAUAGCGGGAUCAGGUCGGAGCAAAAAUUUCCAUCGCGAACAAAGAGCGAAUAAACUCGAUAUUCUCUCGUCUCUGCGAAAGGUGAAAAAGAACCGCGGCGUUCGAAGACGCGCUUUCCCACUAUAAAAAUUUUUCGUAUUAAAAUUGCACCAAGUCCCACCGAAUAAAUAUUCUCGUAUUAGUUUCUCGUGCAAAAAAAGAGAAGAGGGAGUCUUCGCUCGUUAGCGCGUGUUAAAAAAUCAUUGUUUCUUUCGUAUCUGCCUUUGAGCGAAGAAAGUGACGUUUAAUUAAUAAGAAACAUGAGAUGCACUUCAGACGGCACAGUCCGGCGAUACAUCUACUCGAUGUGUACUCCAAUGACGGCCUCAAGGGUAGCUCGUUGCAAUCUACCGUGGUCACCUAAUGAGCAAACAGUUUAUCUCCCUAAAUUAACUGUUCGCAGGUGACACGCGCGGGUCAAUUUCGGGCUGCAUCCCGAGAUUCCUUAUGAUGUACGUGAUACGCGUGAACGCCGAGUGUGCGCCGUUGGAAUAAUAUUUUGCUGUGCUGCAUGCGACGAGCGCGAACGGUGUAUAUACAAUUGUAGCACGCGGAUCGGGGCAAAUAGGCAACCUGUUGCUGAUUCGCCGACGCUCACACAGUUGAUGAACCCCGGUAAUCGUGUUUUAUGUAUGCCGUGCGUCGCAUACCGGGAGACAGGUGGGAUACACAUAGACACGUGUUACGACGCCGGAAGUAAAAUUCGCUUGAAUAAAAUACGCUGCACCUAGUCUCGAGAGAAUAAGCAGAAAAUACGCGUGUACCAAGAAAUCCUCCCUUACAAUAAAUAAAGGCGCCUGGAUGCACGCGCGUUUCCAGGUUGUACUCUGAAAUUCUUAUAAGCCCUCGACUUCCCGACAAAUCUCUCAAAAUGGCCGCGACUGCUCGAGGGGGACGAUGCAUUUGAAAAGUGAGAUCGAGAAACCAAAUUCUUGUGGUUUAUUUUUCUUUUUUACGUAAACUCCUUUUCUGUCCAUUUUAAACUACAUAAAAUAAUUUCUCUGUAUGUCGAAGUAGCUAAACGAGCGCUUGAAUGUAUAGCCCUUGCGCGGAUCAGAUUAGACAAUCCUGGAGACCCUGUAAGCAGAGACUGGCCAUAAGAGAGUUCGUCAAAUUCCUGCGAGUGAGAGAGAAACAUAGGCUAUCUGAUUUUUCUACGACCGUAGUAGAAUCGUAGGUAAGUGGUAAGAGAUAGCCUGUGUUUCUCUCUCACUCGCAGGAAUUUGACGAAAUCUCUUAUGACCAGUCUCUGAUUACAGGGUCGCUAGACAAUCCCUGGUGCGACCUCGCAAAUCACUUAUCCUGACGUCUACAAAGGCCUAUGCCAAAAAUAAAGAGGGCGAAGCGAGUGGAUAAGAUCGGGCGAGAUUAACGAUACGUCGGAUCUCAGAAUCGCGUGUAAAAUAACAAGAAAGUUGUUCAGGAGGCGUCUUAGAAGGAGUCGCGUGAAAAAAUAGUUCUAAGAGUUCAAAUAUUUUCUAAGAAGGUGGAGACAACGGAGAAGAUUAAAUUUAGCACGGAAGCCUUUACGUCAAUGUGGUCAAUGUGUCGCACGUCUCAGUCUAAAUUGGGAUUUAAUUAGCUUUUAACAACGCAACGUUUUGGUGGGGACGUCGAAAUUAAAACGUGAAUGUUUAGAGAGGCGAUUGUAACAUUGUUUGCGUUCGCAUAUCACCAACUGCGAACGCACGUAUGCAAAUAUUGGUGACGCAACGAAUACUACGACUCAAUGCUAAAAAUGCGUUUUCAUAUAUUUCGAUGCACGUGUGUGUAAUUAUUGUUCGCUACAUACGUGACCUACACGUUUUAGGUUCAACGCAGUUGCCGUCACGAAAAAAAACCACGCGUGGCAGCGAUAAAAAAAAAUAGCGAUGAAAAAAGCGGAUGAGAGUAGAUCGAAAUAUUCGACAGGGGGAUUCUGUCGCAUCGAAAGCUCAAAGAGAGAUAAUACCCGAAGGAAACCGCGGAAGCUUCUGUGAAGACCAAGGGACGCCAAUAUGACGAAAUAAAUAUAUGUACCUAUAUGAAAGACAAGAUAUAGGAAUACGAACAGAAUACACAUAUCGUAUAUAAGUUGUGCCCUGAAAUCCCUCCUGAAUCAUUAAUGCGCGAGUAACGUUAUGCAUACGCACAAGCACAUGUGUAUCUUGAGAGUGCUGAGUAUGUUCGAGGCCCCUCUGCCUCUCUGGCAUCACCGGAAUAAUGCAUAUCACGCGAACCGUACAUAUUAUGCGGAUCGACUCCGCGUAGCAAUCUUUGAAGGUGCGAUGAAAUAUUAAUACCGUGGACGGGCAGAGAGGAAGAGACGACGAGGCAUUCUUUCGCCACCGCGAGCGACCACACAAAUACGCAGUCCGAAAGGAUCGAAAAUGUAAAAAUACUCUCCCUCCGUAAUUUCUCCUGCCUG
Long non-coding RNA from Vollenhovia emeryi, 3378 nucleotides. RefSeq lists it as uncharacterized. NCBI's taxonomy places the organism in Eukaryota, Metazoa, Arthropoda, Insecta, Hymenoptera, Formicidae. The record is from RefSeq and is a predicted model, not a curated record. The transcript has 3 exons.